UUCUACCCUUUGUGACUAUUAUACCUGUUGCUUCGGCGGCGCCCGCGAGGGUGCCCGCCGGUCUCAUCAGAAUCUCUGUUUUCGAACCCGACGAUACUUCUGAGUGUUCUUAGCGAACUGUCAAAACUUUUAACAACGGAUCUCUUGGCUCCAGCAUCGAUGAAGAACGCAGCGAAACGCGAUAUGUAAUGUGAAUUGCAGAAUUCAGUGAAUCAUCGAAUCUUUGAACGCACAUGGCGCCUUCCAGUAUCCUGGGAGGCAUGCCUGUCCGAGCGUCGUUUCAACCCUCGAGCCCCCGUGGCCCGGCGUUGGGGAUCUGCCACGGCAGGCCCCUAAAACCAGUGGCGGACCCGAAGGCCCUCUCCUUUGCGCAGUAGCAUCAGCCUCGCAUUGGGAUCCCUCGGCGUCCUGCCUCUAAACCCCCCACAAGUCCGCUCCGGCGGCACCAAGGUUGACCUCGGAUCAGGUAGGAAUACCCGCUGAACUUAAGCAUAUCAAUAAGCGGAGGA
RNAcentral lists this ribosomal RNA (509 nucleotides) under Plectosphaerella cucumerina. RNAcentral's name for it is "eukaryotic LSU rRNA". The stretch from base 125 to 278 matches the Rfam family "5.8S ribosomal RNA". Lineage: Eukaryota; Fungi; Ascomycota; Sordariomycetes; Glomerellales; Plectosphaerellaceae. The record is from RNAcentral.